ACGACUACACUCCUACGGGAGGCAGCAGUGGGGAAUAUUGGACAAUGGGCGAAAGCCUGAUCCAGCAAUGCCGCGUGAGUGAUGAAGGCCUUAGGGUUGUAAAGCUCUUUACCCGGGAUGAUAAUGACAGUACCGGGAGAAUAAGCCCCGGCUAACUCCGUGCCAGCAGCCGCGGUAAUACGGAGGGGGCUAGCGUUGUUCGGAAUUACUGGGCGUAAAGCGCGCGUAGGCGGCUUUGUAAGUUAGAGGUGAAAGCCCGGGGCUCAACUCCGGAAUUGCCUUUAAGACUGCAUCGCUAGAAUCAUGGAGAGGUUAGUGGAAUUCCGAGUGUAGAGGUGAAAUUCGUAGAUAUUCGGAAGAACACCAGUGGCGAAGGCGACUAACUGGACAUGUAUUGACGCUGAGGUGCGAAAGCGUGGGGAGCAAACAGGAUUAGAUACCCUAGUAGUCCACCAAUCC
Molecule: ribosomal RNA, 459 nt
Filed under: uncultured bacterium
Lineage: Bacteria
Description: bacterial SSU rRNA
Rfam family: Bacterial small subunit ribosomal RNA
Source: RNAcentral